RNAcentral lists this ribosomal RNA (560 nucleotides) under uncultured Glomus. RNAcentral's name for it is "SSU rRNA". It matches the Rfam family "Eukaryotic small subunit ribosomal RNA", at positions 546 to 1106 of the family's 1831-position model. Lineage: Eukaryota; Fungi; Glomeromycota; Glomeromycetes; Glomerales; Glomeraceae. The record is from RNAcentral.
AAUUGGAGGGCAAGUCUGGUGCCAGCAGCCGCGGUAAUUCCAGCUCCAAUAGCGUAUAUUAAAGUUGUCGCAGUUAAAAAGCUCGUAGUUGAAUUUCGGGAUCAAUAUUUCGGUCAUGCCGUUGGUAUGCACUGUUAUCAUUGAUUUCUCACCUUCUAAAGAACCGUAAUGCCAUUAAUUUGGUGUUACGGGGAAUUAGGACUGUUACCUUGAAAAAAUUAGAGUGUUUAAAGCAGGCUCACGCUUGAAUACAUUAGCAUGGAAUAAUGAAAUAGGACAUCCGAUUCUAUUUUGUUGGUUUCUAGGAUCGAUGUAAUGAUUAAUAGGGAUAGUUGGGGGCAUUAGUAUUCAAUUGUCAGAGGUGAAAUUCUUGGAUUUAUUGAAGACUAACUACUGCGAAAGCAUUUGCCAAGGAUGUUUUCAUUAAUCAAGAACGAAAGUUAGGGGAUCGAAGACGAUCAGAUACCGUCGUAGUCUUAACCAUAAACUAUGCCGACUAGGGAUCGGAUGAUGUUAAUUUUUUAAUGACUCAUUCGGCGCCUUACGGGAAACCAAAGUGU